RNAcentral lists this unclassified non-coding RNA (379 nucleotides) under soil metagenome. RNAcentral describes it as "partial contains 5.8S ribosomal RNA, internal transcribed spacer 2, and large subunit ribosomal RNA". The stretch from base 1 to 120 matches the Rfam family "5.8S ribosomal RNA", at positions 35 to 154 of the family's 154-position model. The record is from RNAcentral.
GAUGAAGAACGUAGCGAAAUGCGAUAAGUAAUGUGAAUUGCAGAAUUCAGUGAAUCAUCGAAUCUUUGAACGCACCUUGCACCCUUUGGUAUUCUGAAGGGUAUGCUCGUUUGAGUGUCAUUGUACUCUCACACUUCCGAUCUUUCGAUUGGGAGCGGUGGACUUGGGUGUUGCUGCUUUACUGUGGCUCACCUCAAAUGGAGUAGUGCAACUCUUGGUUGGACAUAGUACGGCGUGAUAAGUGUCUUCGCCGGCACCUCAUAGAGGGUGGCUGAUCAGGAGCUCUGUGCUUCAAACCGUCUUCGGACAACCUCUGACAACUUGACCUCAAAUCGAGUAGGACCACCCGCUGAACUUAAGCAUAUCAAUAAGCGGAGGA